This 494-nucleotide ribosomal RNA is filed under the name uncultured bacterium. Its description in RNAcentral is "bacterial SSU rRNA". It matches the Rfam family "Bacterial small subunit ribosomal RNA", at positions 30 to 522 of the family's 1533-position model. The record is from RNAcentral.
UGAACGCUGGCGGCAUGCCUUACACAUGCAAGUCGAACGGUAACGCGGGGCAACCUGGCGACGAGUGGCGAACGGGUGAGUAAUAUAUCGGAACGUGCCCAGUCGUGGGGGAUAACGUAGCGAAAGUUACGCUAAUACCGCAUACGAUCUAAGGAUGAAAGCGGGGGAUCGCAAGACCUUGCGCGAUUGGAGCGGCCGAUAUCAGAUUAGGUAGUUGGUGGGGUAAAGGCUCACCAAGCCAACGAUCUGUAGCUGGUCUGAGAGGACGACCAGCCACACUGGAACUGAGACACGGUCCAGACUCCUACGGGAGGCAGCAGUGGGGAAUUUUGGACAAUGGACGCAAGUCUGAUCCAGCCAUUCCGCGUGCGGGAUGAAGGCCCUCGGGUUGUAAACUGCUUUUGUACGGACGAAAAGGUCUCUCUUAAUACGAGGGGCUCAUGACGGUACCGUAAGAAUAAGCACCGGCUAACUACGUGCCAGCAGCCGCGGUA